GUGGGGAAUUUUGGACAAUGGGCGCAAGCCUGAUCCAGCCAUGCCGCGUGCAGGAUGAAGGCCUUCGGGUUGUAAACUGCUUUUGUACGGAACGAAAAGACUCUGGUUAAUACCUGGGGUCCAUGACGGUACCGUAAGAAUAAGCACCGGCUAACUACGUGCCAGCAGCCGCGGUAAUACGUAGGGUGCGAGCGUUAAUCGGAAUUACUGGGCGUAAAGCGUGCGCAGGCGGUUAUGUAAGACAGAUUUGAAAUCCCCGGGCUCAACCUGGGAACUGCAUUUGUGACUGCAUAGCUAGAGUACGGCAGAGGGGGAUGGAAUUCCGCGUGUAGCAGUGAAAUGCGUAGAUAUGCGGAGGAACACCGAUGGCGAAGGCAAUCCCCUGGGCCUGUACUGACGCUCAUGCACGAAAGCGUGGGGAGCAAACAGGAUUAGAAACCCCAGUAGUCC
Molecule: ribosomal RNA, 450 nt
Filed under: uncultured bacterium
Lineage: Bacteria
Description: partial 16S ribosomal RNA
Rfam family: Bacterial small subunit ribosomal RNA
Source: RNAcentral